AGAGUUUGAUCCUGGCUCAGGAUGAACGCUAGCUACAGGCUUAACACAUGCAAGUCGAGGGGAAACGACAUCGAAAGCUUGCUUUUGAUGGGCGUCGACCGGCGUACGGGUGAGUAACGCGUAUCCAACCUGCCCACCACUUGGGGAUAACCUUGCGAAAGUAAGACUAAUACCCAAUGAUAUCUCUAGAAGACAUCUGAAAGAGAUUAAAGAUUUAUCGGUGAUGGAUGGGGAUGCGUCUGAUUAGCUUGGUUGGCGGGGUAGCCGGCCCACCAAGGCAACGAUCAGUAGGGGUUCUGAGAGGAACGGUCCCCCACAUUGGAACUGAGACACGGUACCAACUCCUACGGGAGGCAGCA
Molecule: ribosomal RNA, 359 nt
Filed under: uncultured bacterium
Lineage: Bacteria
Description: bacterial SSU rRNA
Rfam family: Bacterial small subunit ribosomal RNA
Source: RNAcentral